Molecule: transfer RNA, 64 nt
Filed under: Amblyomma ovale
Lineage: Eukaryota; Metazoa; Arthropoda; Arachnida; Ixodida; Ixodidae
Description: tRNA-Trp
Source: RNAcentral
UAAGAUUUUAAGUUAAUUAAACUAUAUACCUUCAAAGUAUAAAAUAUUUUGUAAUAAAUCUUAG